GACGAACGCUUGCGGCGUGCUUAACACAUGCAAGUCGAACGGAAAGGCCCUGCUUUUGUGGGGUGCUCGAGUGGCGAACGGGUGAGUAACACGUGAGUAACCUGCCCUUGACUUUGGGAUAACUUCAGGAAACUGGGGCUAAUACCGGAUAGGAGCUCCUGCUGCAUGGUGGGGGUUGGAAAGUUUCGGCGGUUGGGGAUGGACUCGCGGCUUAUCAGCUUGUUGGUGGGGUAGUGGCUUACCAAGGCUUUGACGGGUAGCCGGCCUGAGAGGGUGACCGGCCACAUUGGGACUGAGAUACGGCCCAGACUCCUACGGGAGGCAGCAGUGGGGAAUAUUGCACAAUGGGCGGAAGCCUGAUGCAGCAACGCCGCGUGCGGGAUGACGGCCUUCGGGUUGUAAACCGCUUUCGCCUGUGACGAAGCGUGAGUGACGGUAAUGGGUAAAGAAGCACCGGCUAACUACGUGCCAGCAGCCGCGGUGAUACGUAGGGUGCGAGCGUUGUCCGGAUUUAUUGGGCGUAAAGGGCUCGUAGGUGGUUGAUCGCGUCGGAAGUGUAAUCUUGGGGCUUAACCCUGAGCGUGCUUUCGAUACGGGUUGACUUGAGGAAGGUAGGGGAGAAUGGGAUUCCUGGUGGAGCGGUGGAAUGCGCAGAUAUCAGGAGGAACACCAGUGGCGAAGGCGGUUCUCUGGGCCUUUCCUGACGCUGAGGAGCGAAAGCGUGGGGAGCGAACAGGCUUAGAUACCCUGGUAGUCCACGCUGUAAACGGUGGGUACUAGGUGUGGGGUCCAUUCCACGGGUUCCGUGCCGUAGCUAACGCUUUAAGUACCCCGCCUGGGGAGUACGGCCGCAAGGCUAAAACUCAAAGGAAUUGACGGGGCCCCGCACAAGCGGCGGAGCAUGCGGAUUAAUUCGAUGCAACGCGUAGAACCUUACCUGGGUUUGACAUGGAUCGGGAGUGCUCAGAGAUGGGUGUGCCUCUUUUGGGGUCGGUUCACAGGUGGUGCAUGCCUGUCGUCAGCUCGUGUCGUGAGAUGUUGGGUUAAGUCCCGCAACGAGCGCAACCCUUGUUCACUGUUGCCAGCACGUUAUGGUGGGGACUCAGUGGAGACCGCCGGGGUCAACUCGGAGGAAGGUGGGGAUGACGUCAAGUCAUCAUGCCCCUUAUGUCCAGGGCUUCACGCAUGCUACAAUGGCUGGUACAGAGAGUGGCGAGCCUGUGAGGGUGAGCGAAUCUCGGAAAGCCGGUCUCAGUUCGGAUUGGGGUCUGCAACUCGACCUCAUGAAGUCGGAGUCGCUAGUAAUCGCAGAUCAGCAACGCUGCGGUGAAUACGUUCCCGGGGCU
RNAcentral lists this ribosomal RNA (1346 nucleotides) under uncultured bacterium. RNAcentral's name for it is "partial 16S ribosomal RNA". It matches the Rfam family "Bacterial small subunit ribosomal RNA", at positions 28 to 1381 of the family's 1533-position model. The record is from RNAcentral.